Molecule: small RNA, 82 nt
Filed under: Fructilactobacillus florum
Lineage: Bacteria; Bacillati; Bacillota; Bacilli; Lactobacillales; Lactobacillaceae
Also listed under: 1 other name
Description: Lactobacillus florum SAM-III sequence
Rfam family: SAM-III riboswitch aptamer (SMK box)
Source: RNAcentral
AAUAGUUAUAAGCAUGUUCCCGAUGGGAUUCACGUUUUGUGAAGCUGCCUUGUAACCAAUUUUUAAGGGGGAAAAUAAAUUG